UCAGUUUGAGGCUAUGGGUUUCCAGGUGCAACUCUUCAGCUUCUUCCUUCUCUGGAUUUCUGAUACCAGGACAGAAACAAUAGUUACACAGUCUCUAGCACUUUUGUCAGCGGCUCCGGGAGACAAAGUCACCAUCACCUGCAAAGCCAGUCAAGACAUUGAUGAUGACAUGAACUGGUAUCAACAGAAACCAGGAGAAACUCUCAUGCUCAUUAUUAGAGAAGCUACUACUCGUUUAUCUGGGGUUCCAUCCCGGUUCACUGGCAGUGGGUAUGGAACAGAUUUUACCCUGACAAUUAAUAACAUGGAAACUGAAGAUGCUGCCUAUUAUUUUUGUCAACAAGAUGAUAAUCUCCCACUCACAGUGAUAUACUUUGUUACAAAAACCCCCAAAUGCCUUCAAUGGUACUAUCUCAGCUGCUACUGA
This is a non-coding RNA of Pteropus alecto (black flying fox), 427 nucleotides long. The record is from the annotation of a RefSeq genome assembly. Lineage: Eukaryota; Metazoa; Chordata; Mammalia; Chiroptera; Pteropodidae.